Molecule: ribosomal RNA, 483 nt
Filed under: Gemella sanguinis
Lineage: Bacteria; Bacillati; Bacillota; Bacilli; Caryophanales; Gemellaceae
Description: bacterial SSU rRNA
Rfam family: Bacterial small subunit ribosomal RNA
Source: RNAcentral
GACGAACGCUGGCGGCGUGCCUAAUACAUGCAAGUCGAGCGAAGUUUUUCUGGUGCUUGCACUAGAAAAACUUAGCGGCGAACGGGUGAGUAACACGUAAAGAACCUGCCUCAUAGACGGGGACAACUAUUGGAAACGAUAGCUAAUACCGGAUAACAGCAUAAAUCGCAUGAUAUGUGUUUAAAAGUUGGUUUCGGCUAACACUAUGAGAUGGCUUUGCGGUGCAUUAGCUAGUUGGUGGGGUAAAGGCCUACCAAGGCGACGAUGCAUAGCCGACCUGAGAGGGUGAUCGGCCACACUGGGACUGAGACACGGCCCAGACUCCUACGGGAGGCAGCAGUAGGGAAUCUUCCGCAAUGGGCGAAAGCCUGACGGAGCAACGCCGCGUGAGUGAAGAAGGAUUUCGGUUCGUAAAGCUCUGUUGUUAGGGAAGAAUGAUUGUAUAGUAACUAUAUACAGUAGAGACGUACCUAACCAGAAGCC